GGAACAUCUAAAGCAGAGCAGGAAGCCAGGAAGUUAUCCUGGAGGAGAUGAACCCUGGGCUGAGUUUUCAGGGGCCCAAUGUGAAGGAGUAUUAAACAAAUAGAACAACUUUUCAUGAAAAUAGACUAUGAAGCCGUGGGCAGAAUUCAGUGGGAUGGCUUCUGUGCAUAUUUGCAGCUAGUAUAUUCGGAGCAGGCUGAUGCUCGGGCUCGACAGCAAGAGGCUUCCUUCCAGCUGCCUGCUCUGCUACAGGGGCUGCCGUACAGGGGUCCCGUGCUGCGCAUUCUUGCUGCGCCUGAUGACACCUUAAUCAUGAUCAGAGAAGAUGGA
Cervus elaphus (red deer) is the source of this 330-nucleotide long non-coding RNA. RefSeq lists it as uncharacterized. The record is from RefSeq and is a predicted model, not a curated record. NCBI's taxonomy places the organism in Eukaryota, Metazoa, Chordata, Mammalia, Artiodactyla, Cervidae. The transcript is spliced from 3 exons.